This 387-nucleotide ribosomal RNA is filed under the name uncultured bacterium. RNAcentral's name for it is "bacterial SSU rRNA". It matches the Rfam family "Bacterial small subunit ribosomal RNA", at positions 29 to 416 of the family's 1533-position model. The record is from RNAcentral.
AUCGAACGCUGGCGGCAUGCCUUACACAUGCAAGUCGAACGGCAGCACGGGAGCUUGCUCCUGGUGGCGAGUGGCGAACGGGUGAGUAAAGCAUCGGAACGUGCCCUGGAGUGGGGGAUAACGUAGCGAAAGUUACGCUAAUACCGCAUAUUCUGUGAGCAGGAAAGCAGGGGAUCGCAAGACCUUGCGCUCUGGGAGCGGCCGAUGUCGGAUUAGCUAGUUGGUGGGUAAAGGCCUACCAAGGCGACGAUCCGUAGCGGGUCUGAGAGGAUGAUCCGCCACACUGGGACUGAGACACGGCCCAGACUCCUACGGGAGGCAGCAGUGGGGAAUUUUGGACAAUGGGCGGAAGCCUGAUCCAGCCAUGCCGCGUGAGUGAAGAAGGCC